GACGAACGCUGGCGGCGUGCUUAACACAUGCAAGUCGAACGGUGAAGCGCCUUCCUUUUUGGUGGGUGUGGAUGAGUGGCGAACGGGUGAGUAACACGUGAGUAACCUGCCCCCUUCUUCUGGAUAACCGCAUGAAAGUGUGGCUAAUACGGGAUAUUCUGGGUCUGUCGCAUGAUGGGUCUGGGAAAGAUAUUGUUUCGGUGGGGGAUGGGCUCGCGGCCUAUCAGCUUGUUGGUGGGGUGAUGGCCUACCAAGGCGGUGACGGGUAGCCGGCCUGAGAGGGUGGACGGUCACACGGGGACUGAGACACGGCCCAGACUCCUACGGGAGGCAGCAGUGAGGAAUAUUGCACAAUGGGCGCAAGCCUGAUGCAGCGACGCCGCGUGAGGGAUGGAGGCCUUCGGGUUGUGAACCUCUUUCGCCAGUGAAGCAGGCCUGCCUCGUUUGUGGGUGGGUUGACGGUAGCUGGAUAAGAAGCGCCGGCUAACUACGUG
RNAcentral lists this ribosomal RNA (494 nucleotides) under uncultured bacterium. RNAcentral describes it as "partial 16S ribosomal RNA". It matches the Rfam family "Bacterial small subunit ribosomal RNA", at positions 28 to 507 of the family's 1533-position model. The record is from RNAcentral.